RNAcentral lists this ribosomal RNA (491 nucleotides) under uncultured bacterium. RNAcentral describes it as "partial 16S ribosomal RNA". It matches the Rfam family "Bacterial small subunit ribosomal RNA", at positions 29 to 507 of the family's 1533-position model. The record is from RNAcentral.
AGUGAACGCUGGCGGUAGGCCUAACACAUGCAAGUCGAACGGCAGCACAGUAAGAGCUUGCUCUUACGGUGGCGAGUGGCGGACGGGUGAGGAAUACAUCGGAAUCUACUUUUUCGUGGGGGAUAACGUAGGGAAACUUACGCUAAUACCGCAUACGACCUACGGGUGAAAGCAGGGGAUCUUCGGACCUUGCGCGAUUGAAUGAGCCGAUGUCGGAUUAGCUAGUUGGCGGGGUAAAGGCCCACCAAGGCGACGAUCCGUAGCUGGUCUGAGAGGAUGAUCAGCCACACUGGAACUGAGACACGGUCCAGACUCCUACGGGAGGCAGCAGUGGGGAAUAUUGGACAAUGGGCGCAAGCCUGAUCCAGCCAUACCGCAUGGGUGAAGAAGGCCUUCGGGUUGUAAAGCCCUUUUGUUGGGAAAGAAAAGCAGCAGGUUAAUACCCCGCUGUUCUGACGGUACCCAAAGAAUAAGCACCGGCUAACUUCGUG